AGAGUUUGAUCAUGGCUCAGGAUUAACGUUGGUAGUACACACACACGAGCAAGUCGAACGCGGUAAAGGAAUAGUCUGUAAAGAUUAUUUUGGAGCCGAGUGGCGAACGGGUGAGUAAUACUUAUCUAACUUGCCAAUUAGUGGGGGAUAAAAUACCGCAUACUCUGAUUUCGGUCAGGAAAGGGUUCCGCAAGGACUCGCUAGUUGAGAGGGAUAAGUCGCAUCAGCCGAAGAAAGUGGGGUAAUGGCCUACUGAGGCAGUGACGCGUAGCCGGUCUGAGAGGAUGAACGGCCACAAGGGAACUGAGACACGGUCCCUACUCCUACGGGAGGCAGAAGUGGGAAACAUUUCGCAAUGGACGCAAGUCUGACGGAGUGAUACUACGUGAAGGAUGAAGGUCUACGGAUUGUAAACUUCUUUACUAGAGGGUACUGUUUUUAAAACUUGCCCUUUAGCAAAAAGUCACGACUAACUAUGUGCCAGCAGUCGCGGUAAGACAUAGGUGGCAAACGUUAUCCGGAAUUAUUGGGCGUAAAGAGUGCGUAGGUGGUUGAAUAAGUUAUUGGUGGUAAAUCGGGGCCCAACCCCGUGGAAGCCAGUAAUACUGUUGAACUAGAGGGCUGGAGAGGUUAACGGAAUUCUAUGUGUAGCGGUAAAAUGCUCAAAUAUAUAGAGGAACACCAAUUGGCGAAGGCAGUUAACUAUUCGGUUCCUGACGUUGAGGCACGAAAGUGUGGGGAGCAAGACGGAUUAGAUACCCUAGUAGUCC
This 770-nucleotide ribosomal RNA is filed under the name uncultured bacterium. Its description in RNAcentral is "bacterial SSU rRNA". It matches the Rfam family "Bacterial small subunit ribosomal RNA", at positions 8 to 796 of the family's 1533-position model. The record is from RNAcentral.